RNAcentral lists this ribosomal RNA (600 nucleotides) under uncultured Actinomycetes bacterium. RNAcentral's name for it is "bacterial SSU rRNA". It matches the Rfam family "Bacterial small subunit ribosomal RNA", at positions 252 to 866 of the family's 1533-position model. The record is from RNAcentral. Lineage: Bacteria; Bacillati; Actinomycetota; Actinomycetes.
GUGAGGUAACGGCUCACCAAGGCGACGACGGGUAGCUGGUCUGAGAGGAUGGCCAGCCACAUUAGGACUGAGACACGGCCCAGACUCCUACGGGAGGCAGCAGUGGGGAAUAUUGCGCAAUGGCCGAAAGGCUGACGCAGCGACGCCGCGUGCGGGAUGAAGGCCCUCGGGUCGUAAACCGCUGUCAGGAGGGACGAAGAUCUGACGGUACCUCCAGAGGAAGCACCGGCUAACUCCGUGCCAGCAGCCGCGGUAAUACGGAGGGUGCGAGCGUUGUCCGGAAUCACUGGGCGUAAAGGGCGCGUAGGCGGCGCCGUAAGUAGGGGGUGAAAUCUCACGGCUCAACCGUGAAGCGGCCUCCUAAACUGCGGUGCUUGAGCACGGUAGAGGCAGAUGGAAUUCCCGGUGUAGCGGUGGAAUGCGUAGAUAUCGGGAAGAACACCGGUGGCGAAGGCGGUCUGCUGGGCCGUUGCUGACGCUGAGGCGCGACAGCGUGGGGAGCAAACAGGAUUAGAUACCCUGGUAGUCCACGCCGUAAACGAUGGGCACUAGGCGUCGGGGGGAGCGACCCUCUCGGUGCCGUCGCUAACGCAGUAAGUG